This 759-nucleotide ribosomal RNA is filed under the name uncultured bacterium. Its description in RNAcentral is "bacterial SSU rRNA". It matches the Rfam family "Bacterial small subunit ribosomal RNA", at positions 28 to 777 of the family's 1533-position model. The record is from RNAcentral.
GAUGAACGCUAGCUACAGGCUUAACACAUGCAAGUCGAGGGGCAUCAGGAAGAAAGCUUGCUUUCUUUGCUGGCGACCGGCGCACGGGUGAGUAACACGUAUCCAACCUGCCCUUUACUCGGGGAUAGCCUUUCGAAAGAAAGAUUAAUACCCGAUAGCAUAAUGAUUCCGCAUGGUUUCAUUAUUAAAGGAUUCCGGUAAAGGAUGGGGAUGCGUUCCAUUAGGUUGUUGGUGAGGUAACGGCUCACCAAGCCUUCGAUGGAUAGGGGUUCUGAGAGGAAGGUCCCCCACAUUGGAACUGAGACACGGUCCAAACUCCUACGGGAGGCAGCAGUGAGGAAUAUUGGUCAAUGGGCGCUAGCCUGAACCAGCCAAGUAGCGUGAAGGAUGAAGGCUCUAUGGGUCGUAAACUUCUUUUAUAUAAGAAUAAAGUGCAGUAUGUAUACUGUUUUGUAUGUAUUAUAUGAAUAAGGAUCGGCUAACUCCGUGCCAGCAGCCGCGGUAAUACGGAGGAUCCGAGCGUUAUCCGGAUUUAUUGGGUUUAAAGGGAGCGUAGGUGGACUGGUAAGUCAGUUGUGAAAGUUUGCGGCUCAACCGUAAAAUUGCAGUUGAUACUGUCAGUCUUGAGUACAGUAGAGGUGGGCGGAAUUCGUGGUGUAGCGGUGAAAUGCUUAGAUAUCACGAAGAACUCCGAUUGCGAAGGCAGCUCACUGGACUGCAACUGACACUGGUGCUCGAAAGUGUGGGUAUCAAACCAGG